UACGGAGGGUGCAAGCAUUAAUCGGAUUUAUUGGGUGUAAAGAGCAUGUAGGCGGACAAGCAAGUCAGAUGUGAAAUUUCGGAGCUCAACUUCGAAGCUGCAUUUGAAACUACUUGUCUUGAGGGUAGACGGAGAAAACGGAAUUCCAAGUGUAGCGGUGAAAUGCGUAGAUAUUUGGAAGAACACCGGUGGCGAAAGCGGUUUUCUAGUUUAUUCCUGACGCUGAGAUGCGAGAGCAAGGGUAGCAAACAGGAUUAGAUACCCUGGUAGUCCUUGCCGUAAACGAUGCAUACUUGGUGUAGUUGGACUCAACCCCGACUGUGCCGUAGCUAACGCGUUAAGUAUGCCACCUGGGGAGUACGCCCGCAAGGGUGAAACUCAAAAGAAUUGACGGGGGCCCGCACAAGCAGUGGAGCAUGUGGUUUAAUUCGAUGCAACGCGAAGAACCUUACCCAGGCUUGACAUAUAGAGGACCGCUCUAGAGAUAGAGUUUCCCGCAAGGGCCUUUAUACAGGUGCUGCAUGGCUGUCGUCAGCUCGUGCCGUGAGGUGUUGGGUUAAGUCCCGCAACGAGCGCAACCCUUGUCGUUAGUUACCAGCAUGUAAUGGUGGGGACUCUAACGAGACUGCCUAGGUUAACUAGGAGGAAGGUGAGGAUGACGUCAAGUCCGCAUGGCCUUUAUGUCUGGGGCUACACACGUGCUACAAUGGUCGGUACAGAAGGCAGCGAAGCCGAAAGGUGGAGCAAAUCCCAAAAACCGAUCUCAGUUCGGAUAGAAGUCUGCAACUCGACUUCUUGAAGUUGGAAUUGCUAGUAAUGACGUGUCAGCAAUAACGUCGUGAAUACGUUCACGGGCCU
This 858-nucleotide ribosomal RNA is filed under the name uncultured bacterium. Its description in RNAcentral is "bacterial SSU rRNA". It matches the Rfam family "Bacterial small subunit ribosomal RNA", at positions 524 to 1381 of the family's 1533-position model. The record is from RNAcentral.